Long non-coding RNA from Eriocheir sinensis (Chinese mitten crab), 915 nucleotides. RefSeq lists it as uncharacterized. The record is from RefSeq and is a predicted model, not a curated record. Lineage: Eukaryota; Metazoa; Arthropoda; Malacostraca; Decapoda; Varunidae. The transcript has 3 exons.
UGCGUUUGGCAGUACAAUGAGGCGGUGCAUGCAGACAGAGACCCAUUGUGCAUGCUGUCUUUGUUGCCACCGGUCUUGUCUUGAAGUGCAACAUAAACAGUAUAAUUCUCAGUUCGUCGUAUGAGAGGUAAAACGAAUAGGCCUACUGAGGGGUGCCGAUAGAGUGCCACAGUGCAUUCUCUCCUUACUGGCACCGAUCUUGGUUUUGUUAACGCCUUGAAUUGCAACAUAAACAGUAUAAUUCUCAGUUCGUCAUAUGAGAGGUAAAACGGGUAGGCCUACUGAGGGGUGCCGACAGAGAGCCAUAGUGCAUUCUCUCCUUACUGGCACCGAUCUUGGUCUUGCAGUGCUCUUAACGCCUUGAAAUGAUAGCAGUCAAACAGUAGAAUCUCAGUUAUCAGUUACUAUAUGGUCUUGAAGCGGUUCGAUUGAGUAUGGAGAGAGAGCCAUAGAGAGAAAUUGUACUGUAGUGCCUUCCGUCCUUACUGGCACCUGUCUGUUAAUUUCUUGUCGCUGCGAAGUGCCAAACACACACUCAUUUCCUCGUUUAUAUUAGACUGUGCCAAAGCGGGGUGGUGAAGCGGUAAAAAGCAAUAGAAGGCAAGGAAGUGAACUCUAGUGCCCGUCCUUACUGGCACCCUCUCUCCUUUGGUCUUGUUCCUGCGGAGUGCCACAUACACACUCAUCUCGUAUUAGACUGUGCCAAAGCGGGGGUGGUUGGUAUAGCGGUAAAAAGAGAGAAUGUGUACUGUAGUGCCUACCGUCCUUACUGGCACCCUCUCUCCUUUGGUCUUGUUCCUGCGGAGUGCCACACACACACUCAUCUCGUAUUAGACUGUGCCAAAGCGAGGGUGGUUGGUAUAGCGGUAAAAAGCAAGAACGUGAACUCUACUGCCUUCCGUCCUUACCUGCACC